CACUAGCCAAUGACGGGUAUGGGCCUUGAGAGAGGGAGCCCAGAGAUGGAUUCUGAGACACGAAUCCAGGCCCUACGGGGCGCAGCAGUCGCGAAAACUUCACAAUGGGGGCAACCCCGAUGAGGGAAUUCCUAGUGCUAGCACAUUAGUGUUAGCUUUUCUUUAGCGUAGAUAACUAGAGGAAUAAGGGCUGGGUAAGACGGGUGCCAGCCGCCGCGGUAAUACCCGCAGCCCAAGUGGUGGUCGAUUUUAUUGAGUCUAAAACGUUCGUAGCCGGUUUGAUAAAUCUUUGGGUAAAUCGGAAAGCUUAACUUUCCGACUUCCGAGGAGACUGUCAAACUUGGGACCGGGAGAGGCAAGAGGUACUUGGGGGGUAGGGGUAAAAUCCUGUAAUCCUUCAAGGACCACCGGUGGCGAAGGCGUCUUGCUAGAACGGAUCCGACGGUGAGGGACGAAGCCCUGGGUCGCAAACGGGAUUAGAUACCCCGGUAGUCCAGGGUGUAAACGCUGCAGACUUGGUGUUGGGGACCCUUUGGGGGUGUUCAGUGCCGGAGGGAAGUUGUUAAGUCUGCUACUUGGGGAGUACGUCCGCAAGGAUGAAACUUAAAGGAAUUGGCGGGGGAGCACCGCAACGGGAGGA
Molecule: ribosomal RNA, 640 nt
Filed under: archaeon
Lineage: Archaea
Description: bacterial SSU rRNA
Rfam family: Archaeal small subunit ribosomal RNA
Source: RNAcentral